GACGAACGCUGGCGGCGUGCCUAACACAUGCAAGUCGAACGAGAAUCUUUGAACAGAUCUUUUCGGAGUGACGUUUAAAGAGGAAAGUGGCGGACGGGCGAGUAACGCGUGAGUAACCUGCCCAUAAGAGGGGGAUAAUCCAUGGUAACGUGGACUAAUACCGCAUAUUGUAAUAAAAUCGCAUGAUUUAAUUAUGAAAGAUUUAUCGCUUAUGGAUGGACUCGCGUCAGAUUAGAUAGUUGGUGAGGUAACGGCUCACCAAGUCAACGAUCUGUAGCCGAACUGAGAGGUUGAUCGGCCGCAUUGGGACUGAGACACGGCCCAGACUCCUACGGGAGGCAGCAGUGGGGAAUAUUGCGCAAUGGGGGCAACCCUGACGCAGCAACGCCGCGUGCAGGAAGAAGGUCUUCGGAUUGUAAACUGUUGUCGCAAGGGAAGAAGACAG
This 445-nucleotide ribosomal RNA is filed under the name uncultured bacterium. Its description in RNAcentral is "bacterial SSU rRNA". It matches the Rfam family "Bacterial small subunit ribosomal RNA", at positions 28 to 454 of the family's 1533-position model. The record is from RNAcentral.